GUCCUCUUGUUAAUAUUUUGAGGUCUGGUCUGCUCACUGAAAGUUUUUAAUAGCCGCGGUAUUUUGACCGUGCAAAGGUAGCAUAAUAAUUAGUCUUUUAAUUGAAGGCUGGAAUGAAUGGUUUGACGAGAAAUUAACUGUCUCUUAAUAAUUUGUAGAAUUUAACUUUUAAGUUAAAAGGCUUAAAUUUUGUUUUAGGACGAGAAGACCCUAUAGAGCUUAACAUAAAUAUUAUAUUUAGUUUUUAGUUAAUCUUUCCAUAUUUAGUAGUAAUGUUUUGUUGGGGUGAUAUGAAGAAUAAAUAAACUUUUCAUUUUAAAAUCAUUGAUUUAUGUUUAUCUUGAUCCAUAAUUUAUGAUCAUAAGAUUAAGUUACCUUAGGGAUAACAGCGUAAUUGUUUUUGAGAGCUCAUAUCAACAAAAUAGAUUGCGACCUCGAUGUUGGAUUAAGAUUAGUUUUAGGUGCAGUAGUCUAAUAACUAGGUCUGUUCGACCUUUAAAUUCUU
This 505-nucleotide ribosomal RNA is filed under the name Caryanda nigrolineata. RNAcentral describes it as "partial 16S ribosomal RNA". It matches the Rfam family "Bacterial large subunit ribosomal RNA", at positions 1889 to 2597 of the family's 2925-position model. The record is from RNAcentral. Lineage: Eukaryota; Metazoa; Arthropoda; Insecta; Orthoptera; Acrididae.